Long non-coding RNA from Triticum dicoccoides, 824 nucleotides. RefSeq lists it as uncharacterized. The record is from RefSeq and is a predicted model, not a curated record. Lineage: Eukaryota; Viridiplantae; Streptophyta; Magnoliopsida; Poales; Poaceae. The transcript is spliced from 3 exons.
UGGUGGCCCCGCCUGCUCUCCCCACUGCCUCAUCUACCCACCACGGCCUCGCCCCAUCGGCCGCCGCCUCCUCUCCCCACCAUGGCCUCGGCCCGCCGCCUUCUCUCCCCACCACGACCUCACCUUGCCGGCUUGCCGCUAACCCCGCCGUUCUUCCCUAGAUCGACUCUGUCGCCGCCGUCCACAUCUUCCAGCGCAGAUCAAGAUGCGAGCUAGAGGAGCAUCCUGGAAACGAUGCGGCAGCGGGCAUCUCGGAGCGGGCCGAGUUCCAGUUCGUCUACGUGCCCACCGUGAUAGUCGACCUCGUGCUUCGCUCCCACACCUGCUCCGAGAAGGCGCUCCUAGCUCGCCUACGUGGUCGGUUGCCCCAGGAUGUAGCUUGGGAAGGUCAUACUGUUGGAGUUGAAGCAGUUGUAGAUUUCUUCAAGGCAAAAAUAAAGCAUUUGCACUUGGUGAGAUGAAAAAGAGGAUGGCACAGGUGAUGCAAGGAACCGACGGCCUGUUUGCAGCGAAGAAGGUGAGGCGUGAGCAGCCGCGCAUGUAAUGGCCAGUGGAGGGCGGCUAGGGAAGGCGGUGGCGGUGUUUUCGUGCGGCGAGGUCGCCGUCCAGGAAGGCGAAGGCGAUGAUGUUUCUGAGCGGCGAGGGGAUAUCCGUGGGAUAUGUUUCUUGUUUUUGGAUUUGCAAGGUCAAUUAUUAUUUGUGGGAAUGGAAGAUACGUGUUUGAAUUUGUUUGGAAGACCUACGUGAUUGUAGGGAUUGUGUUUGCUUUCGCAUGGAAGUUUUCCUCCGCGGUGGAGUAUGGUCAGUCAAUAUAUCUCUACUCA